CCUACGGGAGGCAGCAGUGGGGAAUUUUGGACAAUGGGCGCAAGCCUGAUCCAGCCAUGCCGCGUGAGUGAAGAAGGCCUUCGGGUUGUAAAGCUCUUUCGGCGGGGAAGAAAAGGUUCGUGCUAAUACCACGAACUAAUGACGGUACCCGAAGAAGAAGCACCGGCUAACUACGUGCCAGCAGCCGCGGUAAUACGUAGGGUGCAGGCGUUAAUCGGAAUUACUGGGCGUAAAGCGUGCGCAGGCGGUUUGUUAAGACAGAUGUGAAAUCCCCGGGCUUAACCUGGGAACUGCGUUUGUAACUGGCAAGCUAGAGUGUGGCAGAGGGGGGUGGAAUUCCAAGUGUAGCAGUGAAAUGCGUAGAUAUUUGGAGGAACACCGAUGGCGAAGGCAGCCCCCUGGGCUAACACUGACGCUCAUGCACGAAAGCGUGGGGAGCAAACAGGAUUAGAUACCCUGGUAGUCCACGCCCUAAACUAUGUACACUGGUUGUACGGGAANCAAUUCCGUUAGGUAACGAAGCUAACGCGUAGAAGUUGACCGCGUGGGAGGUACGGCCGCGAACGUUAAACGUUAAAGUAAGUAAGUUAGACGGCGUGAGACGUGCCGAACGGACGACGACGAGGGAGGUAGG
Molecule: ribosomal RNA, 634 nt
Filed under: uncultured bacterium
Lineage: Bacteria
Description: bacterial SSU rRNA
Rfam family: Bacterial small subunit ribosomal RNA (bases 1-545)
Source: RNAcentral